This 683-nucleotide ribosomal RNA is filed under the name Aplanochytrium stocchinoi. RNAcentral's name for it is "partial Bacterial large subunit ribosomal RNA". It matches the Rfam family "Bacterial large subunit ribosomal RNA", at positions 12 to 687 of the family's 2925-position model. The record is from RNAcentral. Lineage: Eukaryota; Bigyra; Thraustochytrida; Thraustochytriidae.
UAAGGGCGCACGGUGGAUGCCUUGGCACUAGAAGCCGAAGAAGGACGUUACUAACGACGAUAUGCUUUGGGUAGCUGUAAGUAAGCGUUGAUCCAGAGAUUUCCGAAUGGGGGAACCCAACAUGAGUUAUGUCAUGUUAUCGACAUGUGAAUUCAUAGCAUGUCAGAAGGCAGACCCGGAGAACUGAAACAUCUUAGUACCCGGAGGAAGAGAAAGAAAAAUCGAUUCCCUGAGUAGCGGCGAGCGAAACGGGAAGAGCCCAAACCAACAAGCUUGCUUGUUGGGGUUGUAGGACACUCUAUACGGAGUUACAAAAGAACAUGUUAGACGAAUCAUCUGGAAAGAUGAAUCAAAGAAGGUAAUAAUCCUGUAGUCGAAAACAUAUUCUCUCUUGAGUGGAUCCUGAGUACGACGGAGCACGUGAAAUUCCGUCGGAAUCUAGGAGGACCAUCUCCUAAGGCUAAAUACUCUCUAGUGACCGAUAGUGAACCAGUACCGUGAGGGAAAGGUGAAAAGCACCCCGACGAGGGGAGUGAAAUAGACCUGAAACCGGACACCUACAAACAGAUGGAGCCCAAGAUACGUUCUGGGUGACAUCGUACCUUUUGUAUUAUGGGCCAGUGACUUAAUUUAACGAGCAAGCUUAAGCCGAUAGGCGAAGGCGCAGCGAAAGCGAGUCUGAA